AAACUAACAAGGAUUCCCCUAGUAACGGCGAGUGAAGCGGGAUGAGGCUCAAAUUUAAAAUCUGGCGGCCUCAGGUCGUCCGAGUUGUAGUCUAGAGAAUCGUUUUCCGCGUUGGCCUGUGUACAAGUCCCUUGGAACAGGGCGUCAUAGAGGGUGAGAAUCCCGUCCUUGACACAGAUUACCAAUGCUUUGUGAUGCGAUCUCGAAGAGUCGAGUUGUUUGGGAAUGCAGCUCAAAAUGGGUGGUAAAUUCCAUCUAAAGCUAAAUAUUGGCGAGAGACCGAUAGCGAACAAGUACCGUGAGGGAAAGAUGAAAAGCACUUUGGAAAGAGAGUUAAACAGUACGUGAAAUUGUUAAAAGGGAAACGAUUGAAGUCAGUCAUGCUUUCCGAGACUCAGCCGAUUCUGUCGGUGUACUUCUCGGUUGGCAGGCCAGCAUCAGUUUCGAUCUGUGGAAAAGGUUGGAGGGAACGUGGCAUCUCCGGAUGUGUUAUAGCCCUUCUUCGAAUACAUAGAGCGGGACUGAGGAACGCAGCGCGCCUUUUAUUAGGUUGGCCCUCGGGUACAUACGCGCUUAGGAUGCUGGCAUAAUGGCUUUAAACGAC
RNAcentral lists this ribosomal RNA (604 nucleotides) under Mrakia blollopis. Its description in RNAcentral is "LSU rRNA". It matches the Rfam family "Eukaryotic large subunit ribosomal RNA", at positions 62 to 648 of the family's 3401-position model. Lineage: Eukaryota; Fungi; Basidiomycota; Tremellomycetes; Cystofilobasidiales; Mrakiaceae. The record is from RNAcentral.